This 553-nucleotide ribosomal RNA is filed under the name Colletotrichum sp. SF3. RNAcentral's name for it is "eukaryotic LSU rRNA". The stretch from base 178 to 331 matches the Rfam family "5.8S ribosomal RNA". The record is from RNAcentral. Lineage: Eukaryota; Fungi; Ascomycota; Sordariomycetes; Glomerellales; Glomerellaceae.
GAGGAACUCUGAGAUACGCUCUACACCCUUUGUGACAUACCUAUAACUGUUGCUUCGGCGGGCAGGGUCUCCGUGACCCUCCCGGCCUCCCGCCCCCGGGCGGGUCGGCGCCCGCCGGAGGAUAACCAAACUCUGAUUUAACGACGUUUCUUCUGAGUGGUACAAGCAAAUAAUCAAAACUUUUAACAACGGAUCUCUUGGUUCUGGCAUCGAUGAAGAACGCAGCGAAAUGCGAUAAGUAAUGUGAAUUGCAGAAUUCAGUGAAUCAUCGAAUCUUUGAACGCACAUUGCGCCCGCCAGCAUUCUGGCGGGCAUGCCUGUUCGAGCGUCAUUUCAACCCUCAAGCUCUGCUUGGUGUUGGGGCCCUACAGCUGAUGUAGGCCCUCAAAGGUAGUGGCGGACCCUCCCGGAGCCUCCUUUGCGUAGUAACUUUACGUCUCGCACUGGGAUCCGGAGGGACUCUUGCCGUAAAACCCCCAAUUUUCCAAAGGUUGACCUCGGAUCAGGUAGGAAUACCCGCUGAACUUAAGCAUAUCAAAGGCCGGGGAGGGAA